AUUGAACGCUGGCGGCAGGCCUAACACAUGCAAGUCGAGCGGAUGAAGGGAGCUUGCUCCUGGAUUCAGCGGCGGACGGGUGAGUAAUGCCUAGGAAUCUGCCUUGUCGUGGGGGAUAACGUCCGGAAACGGGCGCUAAUACCGCAUACGUCCUGAGCGAGAACGUGGGGGAUCGUCGGACCUCACGCUAUCAGAUGAGCCUAGGUCGGAUUAGCUAGUUGGUGGGGUGAAGGCCUACCAAGGCGACGAUCCGUAACUGGUCUGAGAGGAUGAUCAGUCACACUGGAACUGAGACACGGUCCGGACCCCUACGGGAGGCAGCAGUGGGGAAUAUUGGACAAUGGGCGGGAGCCUGGUCCAACCAUGCCGCGUGUGUUAAGAAGGUCUUCGGAUUGUAAAGCUCUUCUUGUUGGGAGGAAGGGCAGUAAGUUCAUCCCGUGCGGUUUUGACGUUACCAACAGAAUAAGCACCGGCUAACUCCGUG
RNAcentral lists this ribosomal RNA (484 nucleotides) under uncultured bacterium. RNAcentral's name for it is "partial 16S ribosomal RNA". It matches the Rfam family "Bacterial small subunit ribosomal RNA", at positions 30 to 507 of the family's 1533-position model. The record is from RNAcentral.